GGCUCAGGAUGAACGCUGGCGGCGUGCCUAAUACAUGCAAGUCGAACGCUUUGUGGUUCAACUGAUUUGAAGAGCUUGCUCAGAUAUGACGAUGGACAUUGCAAAGAGUGGCGAACGGGUGAGUAACACGUGGGAAACCUACCUCUUAGCAGGGGAUAACAUUUGGAAACAGAUGCUAAUACCGUAUAACAAUGACAACCGCAUGGUUGUUAUUUAAAAGAUGGUUCUGCUAUCACUAAGAGAUGGUCCCGCGGUGCAUUAGCUAGUUGGUAAGGUAAUGGCUUACCAAGGCGAUGAUGCAUAGCCGAGUUGAGAGACUGAUCGGCCACAAUGGGACUGAGACACGGCCCAUACUCCUACGGGAGGCAGCAGUAGGGAAUCUUCCACAAUGGGCGAAAGCCUGAUGGAGCAACGCCACGUGUGUGAUGAAGGGUUUCGGCUCGUAAAACACUGUUGUAAGAGAAGAAUGACAUUGAGAGUAACUAUUCAAUGUGUGACGGUAUCUUACCAGAAAGGAACGGCUAAAUACGUGCCAGCAGCCGCGGUAAUACGUAUGUUCCAAGCGUUAUCCGGAUUUAUUGGGCGUAAAGCGAGCGCAGACGGUUAUUUAAGUCUGAAGUGAAAGCCCUCAGCUCAACUGAGGAAUUGCUUUGGAAACUGGAUGACUUGAGUGCAGUAGAGGAAAGUGGAACUCCAUGUGUAGCGGUGAAAUGCGUAGAUAUAUGGAAGAACACCAGUGGCGAAGGCGGCUUUCUGGACUGUAACUGACGUUGAGGCUCGAAAGUGUGGGUAGCAAACAGGAUUAGAUACCCUGGUAGUCCACACCGUAAACGAUGAGUGCUAGGUGUUUGAGGGUUUCCGCCCUUAAGUGCCGCAGCUAACGCAUUAAGCACUCCGCCUGGGGAGUACGACCGCAAGGUUGAAACUCAAAGGAAUUGACGGGGACCCGCACAAGCGGUGGAGCAUGUGGUUUAAUUCGAAGCAACGCGAAGAACCUUACCAGGUCUUGACAUCCCUUGACAACUCCAGAGAUGGAGUGUUCCCUUCGGGGACAAGGUGACAGGUGGUGCAUGGUUGUCGUCAGCUCGUGUCGUGAGAUGUUGGGUUAAGUCCCGCAACGAGCGCAACCCUUAUUACUAGUUGCCAGCAUUCAGUUGGGCACUCUAGUGAGACUGCCGGUGACAAACCGGAGGAAGGUGGGGAUGACGUCAAAUCAUCAUGCCCCUUAUGACCUGGGCUACACACGUGCUACAAUGGCGUAUACAACGAGUUGCCAACCCGCGAGGGUGAGCUAAUCUCUUAAAGUACGUCUCAGUUCGGAUUGUAGGCUGCAACUCGCCUACAUGAAGUCGGAAUCGCUAGUAAUCGCGGAUCAGCACGCCGCGGUGAAUACGUUCCCGGGUCUUGUACACACCGCCCGUCACACCAUGAGAGUUUGUAACACCCAAAGCCGGUGGGGUAACCUUCGGGAGCCAGCCGUCUAAGGUGGGACAGAUGAUUAGGGUG
Molecule: ribosomal RNA, 1506 nt
Filed under: Weissella confusa
Lineage: Bacteria; Bacillati; Bacillota; Bacilli; Lactobacillales; Lactobacillaceae
Description: bacterial SSU rRNA
Rfam family: Bacterial small subunit ribosomal RNA
Source: RNAcentral